This 74-nucleotide transfer RNA is filed under the name Breoghania corrubedonensis. RNAcentral's name for it is "alpha proteobacterium UBF-P1 tRNA". It matches the Rfam family "tRNA". From Rfam's summary of the family: Transfer RNA (tRNA) molecules are approximately 80 nucleotides in length. Their secondary structure includes four short double-helical elements and three loops (D, anti-codon, and T loops). Lineage: Bacteria; Pseudomonadati; Pseudomonadota; Alphaproteobacteria; Hyphomicrobiales; Stappiaceae. The record is from Rfam by way of RNAcentral.
GCGGGCGUGGCGGAACUGGUAGACGCAAGGGACUUAAAAUCCUUCCAGUACCAGUUCGAAUCUGGUCAUGGGCA